GAACCAGCAAGAAGAUAGCCCACAAUGACCGGCUGUCCCAAACAAGAAAAAACAAUUCCACCAAUGGCAGCAGAAACUAUGACAACAACCAGAUCUGAAAUUAAUCUCAAAUCUACUUGAAGUAUUGGGUACUUGGAUUUCUUGUUUGACAUCACAAAUACAUUGUCCUUUUUGUCAAUAAGAGUUGUCAUGUCCUCAGAAUCUUCAUUUUCAAGUGAAAAUACAUUUGGAAACUGGAAUGAUUUUGUUCCAUUAGCCACUUGUGUAUCAUUUUUCUUGGCCUUCUCAUGAGUGAUUUUAGCUACAGUCUCCAAUACAGCCUGUUGAUCAGCUACACUGCUGUUGAAGCUGCUUCCAUCAGAACCUUC
Molecule: unclassified non-coding RNA, 368 nt
Filed under: Hevea brasiliensis (rubber tree)
Lineage: Eukaryota; Viridiplantae; Streptophyta; Magnoliopsida; Malpighiales; Euphorbiaceae
Source: RNAcentral